RNAcentral lists this ribosomal RNA (459 nucleotides) under uncultured bacterium. Its description in RNAcentral is "partial 16S ribosomal RNA". It matches the Rfam family "Bacterial small subunit ribosomal RNA", at positions 338 to 795 of the family's 1533-position model. The record is from RNAcentral.
CCUACGGGUGGCAGCAGUGAGGAAUAUUGGUCAAUGGCCGGAAGGCUGAACCAGCCAAGCCGCGUGAAGGACGAAGGUGCCAAGCAUUGUAAACUUCUUUUGUCAAGGGACAAAAUCAGGCUCGAGAGCCUGACCGAGGGUACUUGAAGUAAAAGCAUCGGCUAACUCCGUGCCAGCACCCGCGGUAAUACGGAGGAUUCGAGCGUUAUCCGGAUUGAUUGUGUUUAAAGGGUGCGUAGUCGGACUGUUAAGUCAGCGGUAAACGCCCGGGGCUCAACCCCGGCGAGCCGUUGAAACUGGCUGUCUUGAGAUGUCAAGAGGUAUGCGGAAUGCGCAGUGUAGCGGUGAAAUGCUUAGAUAUUGCGCAGAACUCCGAUUGCGAAGGCAGCACACCGGCGGCGAUCUGACGCUGAGGCACGAAAGCGUGGGUAUCGAACAGGAUUAGAUACCCCUGUAGUC